Molecule: unclassified non-coding RNA, 253 nt
Filed under: uncultured Rhodobacterales bacterium
Lineage: Bacteria; Pseudomonadati; Pseudomonadota; Alphaproteobacteria; Rhodobacterales
Description: contains 16S-23S intergenic spacer region
Rfam family: Bacterial small subunit ribosomal RNA
Source: RNAcentral
UACGGAGGGGACUAGCGUUGUUCGGAAUUACUGGGCGUAAAGCGCACGUAGGCGGACCGAAAAGUCAGAGGUGAAAUCCCAGGGCUCAACCUUGGAACUGCCUUUGAAACUGCCGGUCUGGAGUUCGAGAGAGGUGAGUGGAAUUCCGAGUGUAGAGGUGAAAUUCGUAGAUAUUCGGAGGAACACCAGUGGCGAAGGCGGCUCACUGGCCAGAUACUGACGCUGAGGUGCGAAAGUGUGGGGAGCAAACAGG